AUGAACGCUAGCGGCAGGCCUAACACAUGCAAGUCGAGGGGGAAGUUACUUUCGGGUGACUGAUACCGGCGUACGGGUGCGUAACGCGUAUCCAAUCUGCCUUUCACUGGGGGAUAGCCCGAAGUAAUUUGGAUUAAUACCCCAUAGUAUAUAGGGACGGCAUCGUUUUUAUAUUAAAGCUUAUGUGGUGAAAGAUGAGUAUGCGUUCUAUUAGCUAGUUGGAGAGGUAACGGCUCCCCAAGGCGAUGAUAGAUAGGGGUUCUGAGAGGGAUGUCCCCCACACUGGUACUGAGAUACGGACCAGACUCCUACGGGAGGCAGCAGUGAGGAAUAUUGGACAAUGGUCGGAAGACUGAACCAGCCAUGCCGCGAGCAGGAUGAAGGUCUUAUGGAUUGUAAACUGCUUUUGUAAGGGAAGAAUAAGGGCUACGCGUAGUUUGAUGACGGUACCUUACGAAUAAGCAUCGGCUAACUCCGU
RNAcentral lists this ribosomal RNA (478 nucleotides) under uncultured bacterium. RNAcentral's name for it is "partial 16S ribosomal RNA". It matches the Rfam family "Bacterial small subunit ribosomal RNA", at positions 29 to 506 of the family's 1533-position model. The record is from RNAcentral.